UACGUAGGGUGCGAGCGUUGUCCGGAAUUAUUGGGCGUAAAGAGCUCGUAGGCGGUUUGUCGCGUCGGCCGUGAAAACUUGGGGCUUAACCCCAAGCCUGCGGUCGAUACGGGCAGACUUGAGUUCGGCAGGGGAGACUGGAAUUCCUGGUGUAGCGGUGAAAUGCGCAGAUAUCAGGAAGAACACCCGUGGCUAAGGCGGCUCUCUAGUACGGUACUGACGCUGAGACGCGAAAGCGUGGGGAGCGAACAGG
Molecule: ribosomal RNA, 253 nt
Filed under: uncultured bacterium
Lineage: Bacteria
Description: partial 16S ribosomal RNA
Rfam family: Bacterial small subunit ribosomal RNA
Source: RNAcentral